CAAGGGGCGGGGCCUGUGCCCGCGCAGCUCUCACCGCGGUCCCCUUAUUUGGAUCUGCGGGAAUGUGGGCUGGAGCGGUCCUGCAGCGGUACCAGCCUCCAGCCUGUCGCCGGGACUGCCCCUGACCCAGGCGCGCCCGCUGCUCGGUGGCAGGAGGGCCGGCGGAGCGCCAUGGCCUGCAUCCUGAAGUUUUACAGCUUCUAUUGUGAGCAUACUGUGUUCCUCAUUACAAAAUGCAAGCCUUACUAAAAUGAAGGGUACAUAAUUAAGUAUUCUCUAUUACUUUUAAGAGAAGAUAUUUCUGCAGCUGAAGAAGAAACCUACAUGGAAAGGACUAGCAAAGAAAGGGACACAUUGAGGAGUGUGUGGAAAUGGUAGGUUUCCUCUCUUGGAUCUGAGAGCUUGUUAAGUAGAGGAGAUAUCCUAAAGAAAGCACAGAGUGUGCCAAGAUCAAGAGAAGUCCAUCCCCACAAUAGCAGAUAAUUGACCUGGUGGC
Molecule: long non-coding RNA, 496 nt
Filed under: Capra hircus (goat)
Lineage: Eukaryota; Metazoa; Chordata; Mammalia; Artiodactyla; Bovidae
Description: lncRNA (ENSCHIG00000006848.1)
Source: RNAcentral